This 253-nucleotide ribosomal RNA is filed under the name uncultured bacterium. RNAcentral's name for it is "partial 16S ribosomal RNA". It matches the Rfam family "Bacterial small subunit ribosomal RNA", at positions 524 to 776 of the family's 1533-position model. The record is from RNAcentral.
UACGUAGGGGGCAAGCGUUGUCCGGAAUCAUUGGGCGUAAAGCGCGUGUAGGCGGCCCGGUAAGUCCGCUGUGAAAGUCGGGGGCUCAACCCUCGAAUGCCGGUGGAUACUGUCGGGCUAGAGUGCGGGAGAGGCGAGUGGAAUUCCUGGUGUAGCGGUGAAAUGCGCAGAGAUCGGGAGGAACACCCGUAGCGAAGGCGGGUCUCUGGGCCGAUACUGACGCUGAGGAGCGAAAGCGUGGGGAGCGAACAGG